GCAUAAUAAACUAAAAAGAAAACAUAUAAGUCUCACAAAUAAAAUAAAAAAAGCUAACAGAAAAUAAAAGUGCAACUGCAAAUAAAAAUAAACAUAAACAAACAGAAAUCUAAAUUAAAUCAGUUAACGGCGUCUGGUAAGAUAUCAAGAUCACGAGGCACAUGAUCGGGUGGAAAAAUCUAGAAAUGCUAGCAUAUCCAUUACAGAUACACCUCAAUGACAUCGAUCUGUGCUAAUUGUUGCCUGAUAUGCUCCAAAUGUAACUACUUAAGUCGAUCUAUCCAUAGUGACUGCUGCUACUGAAGGCAAUAAAUAUCGCUGAGUAUGACCGAAUGCGCAAGCGUAGCAGUAGAGUGAUUUGCAGGAGGACUAGGAACGGGUCUUGAUGGUAGUGGAAGGUCAUUUUCUAGAUACUCGUUGUCCUCAUGCUACUAGUUCAGAUACAGCAACACAUACUGAUUACCAAAAGGCCUAGGCCGAUGAGUAACCAUCCUAAUAUGUUUCUUUAUAUUCAAGCCUUAUGUUGCCAUGCCCCCUACCAAAGAAAGAGUACCAAUUUUCUUGGGGGUCUCGAGGAGGCCAAAGUAACAAGCCAAGCGUGUUAUAUAUAGGCUCAUAUAGAUAGGCCAUCCCUGUGAUCGCUCACUCUGAUGGCGACAACACUGGGAUACGAAGUGGGCUAGAAAAAUCGAGUGUUGCUCAUGCAUGCUUCAUAAGGAAUAUGCAUUUAAAGCUCCUAUGAUGCUCAUACUCUCCUUCCGACCAGUCAAAGUAUGAGUUAAAAUGACGUGAAUGUAUCGCAGGGCUGAAGGGAGGCACCGAGCCUUCAAUUAGCUCAGGUUGUAUGGACUGGCAACCUCAGAUAUGUUAAACCAGUAAAGAGAGACCGAUUGAUUGUGCUAUGGGAGGGUGGAGAACUCAGGCAUGGCCAAAAAAUCAUUAGAGUAUAGGUCGAGAGUGACACCAAAUCCCGCAAUACUAAAAUGCCAAGUAAUACCCCCAAGACGAAAUGAUAUAGCUCAUGGUUCGUCCCCCAAUGAUAGCAUCGUCUGUAGAAAAAAGUGAAGCAAAACUCCAAGAUGAGCUCAGCAUAAGUCGACUUUAUGAUCACGAAAAAU
Molecule: long non-coding RNA, 1118 nt
Filed under: Gossypium barbadense (sea-island cotton)
Lineage: Eukaryota; Viridiplantae; Streptophyta; Magnoliopsida; Malvales; Malvaceae
Description: long non-coding RNA (GBAR_LNC021038)
Source: RNAcentral